RNAcentral lists this unclassified non-coding RNA (391 nucleotides) under soil metagenome. Its description in RNAcentral is "partial contains 5.8S ribosomal RNA, internal transcribed spacer 2, and large subunit ribosomal RNA". The stretch from base 1 to 122 matches the Rfam family "5.8S ribosomal RNA", at positions 35 to 154 of the family's 154-position model. The record is from RNAcentral.
GAUGAAGAACGUAGCGAAAUGCGAUACCUGGUGUGAAUUGCAGAAUCCCGUGAACCAUCGAGUCUUUGAACGCAAGUUGCGCCCGAAGCCACUAGGCCGAGGGCACGCCUGCCUGGGCGUCACACGCCGUUGCCCCCCCAUCUACUCCUUCGGGAUUGCGGGGGGGCGGAUGAUGGCCUCCCGUGCGCCUAGCCGCGCGGUUGGCAUAAAUACCAAGUCCUCGGCGACGCACGCCACGACAAUCGGUGGUUGCGAAACCUCGGUUGCCUGUCGUGUGCGUUCGUCGCGCAUCGAGGGCUCGAAAAAAUGCUCGGCUCCGGCUGGGCUUUCAACGCGACCCCAGGUCAGGCGGGGUUACCCGCUGAAUUUAAGCAUAUCAAUAAGCGGAGGA